This 465-nucleotide ribosomal RNA is filed under the name uncultured Klebsiella sp. RNAcentral's name for it is "bacterial SSU rRNA". It matches the Rfam family "Bacterial small subunit ribosomal RNA", at positions 338 to 795 of the family's 1533-position model. The record is from RNAcentral. Lineage: Bacteria; Pseudomonadati; Pseudomonadota; Gammaproteobacteria; Enterobacterales; Enterobacteriaceae.
CCUACGGGUGGCAGCAGUGGGGAAUAUUGCACAAUGGGCGCAAGCCUGAUGCAGCCAUGCCGCGUGUGUGAAGAAGGCCUUCGGGUUGUAAAGCACUUUCAGCGGGGAGGAAGGCGGUGAGGUUAAUAACCUCAUCGAUUGACGUUACCCGCAGAAGAAGCACCGGCUAACUCCGUGCCAGCAGCCGCGGUAAUACGGAGGGUGCAAGCGUUAAUCGGAAUUACUGGGCGUAAAGCGCACGCAGGCGGUCUGUCAAGUCGAAUGUGAAAUCCCCGGGCUCAACCUGGGGACUGCAUUCGAAACUGGCAGGCUAGAGUCUUGUAGAGGGGGGUAGAAUUCCAGGUGUAGCGGUGAAAUGCGUAGAGAUCUGGAGGAAUACCGGUGGCGAAGGCGGCCCCCUGGACAAAGACUGACGCUCAGGUGCGAAAGCGUGGGGAGCAAACAGGAUUAGAUACCCCAGUAGUC